AAGAGGAGGGCGUAGUUGUGGGAAAGAGCUGUGGGCGGAAAUGGUUAAGUGCCGGGUGGAGCAGGGGCUGGCGUCGGAAUAGCUGGGGCGGAGCUGCGGGAGGAGGAGCUGGGGGGCGGAACUGUGGGAGGAACAGCUGGGGCGGAGCUGAGGGAGGAGGAGCAGGGGGGCAGAACAGCUGGGGUGGAGCUGUGGGCGGAGCUGCAAGAGGAGAAGUUGGGGACGGACUUGCAGGAGGAAAAGCUAGGGGUGGAGCUGUGGGUGGAGUUGGGGGAGGGAGCUGAGGCCCUUCUGUGAUGCACCCUUAGGCAAGAGUCCAAACUUUCCCGCGGCGACCUAACUGCACCUCCAGUGUCUUCCCCCAGAGGGCACAGAAGCAGCAAGAAGGGCGGGAACACUUGACUGGGGUCCAUGCAGCUCUAGGCUGAGUCUUGCAGGGCUGAGCCCCCCAGGCCUGCUCUCCUGUGUCCUGGCCGCUCCGUCAGUGCCUGCCAGUGGGGUCCAGAGGGACCGUUUUUUUAACGCCUCUUUUGCAGUCUCCCGCAUUGACUUCAUAACCAAGUUCUGGGUCCCUGCCUCUGGAGUGCCUGAUGAGACAAAACGGCUCCUCGUCCUGCAUCCCCGCUGCUACUUCCAGAAUUCAGGCCUCGUGGUCUGGAGCCUGCACUGUUCCAUGAGCCUCCUGAGCAACCUGGAG
RNAcentral lists this long non-coding RNA (697 nucleotides) under Homo sapiens (human). RNAcentral's name for it is "non-protein coding LINC00894:10". Lineage: Eukaryota; Metazoa; Chordata; Mammalia; Primates; Hominidae. The record is from RNAcentral.